RNAcentral lists this ribosomal RNA (549 nucleotides) under Polypedates maculatus (spotted whipping frog). RNAcentral's name for it is "partial 16S rRNA". It matches the Rfam family "Bacterial large subunit ribosomal RNA", at positions 1820 to 2597 of the family's 2925-position model. The record is from RNAcentral. Lineage: Eukaryota; Metazoa; Chordata; Amphibia; Anura; Rhacophoridae.
GCCUCUUGUUUAUGAUAAGAGGUCCAGCCUGCCCAGUGAACUUUUAACGGCCGCGGUACCCUAACCGCGCGAAGGUAGCAUAAUCACUUGUUCUUUAAAUGGGGACUUGUAUCAACGGCAUCACGAGGGUUUUACUGUCUCCUCUUUUUAAUCAGUGAAAUUGAUCUUCCCGUGAAGAAGCGGGAAUACCCCUAUAAGACGAGAAGACCCCAUGGAGCUUUAAACCAAAUAGCAACUUAACUAUAUAUCCCCCCAUAGUUCCAUAAAGCCAUGCUACAAGGUUUUUGGUUGGGGUGACCGCGGAGUAAAAUGUAACCUCCACGACGGAAAGGCCACAAUCUUUAUUUAAGAACCACAAUUCUAAAAACUAGCACACUAACGUACACUGACCCGACAAUCGAUCAACGGACCAAGUUACCCUGGGGAUAACAGCGCAAUCUACUUCGAGAGCCCAUAUCGACAAGUAGGCUUACGACCUCGAUGUUGGAUCAGGGUAUCCCAGUGGUGCAGCCGCUACUGAAGGUUCGUUUGUUCAACGAUUAAAACCCU